UACGUAGGGGGCAAGCGUUGUCCGGAAUCAUUGGGCGUAAAGCGUGAGUAGGUGGUUUGUUAAGUCUGUUGUGAAAGCCCCGGGCUCAACCUGGGAAUGGCAAUGGAUACUGGCAAGCUAGAGUGCGGUAGAGGGUAGUGGAAUUCCCGGUGUAGCGGUGAAAUGCGUAGAGAUCGGGAGGAACACCAGUGGCGAAGGCGGCUACCUGGACCAGCACUGACACUGAGGCACGAAAGCGUGGGGAGCAAACAGG
Molecule: ribosomal RNA, 253 nt
Filed under: uncultured bacterium
Lineage: Bacteria
Description: partial 16S ribosomal RNA
Rfam family: Bacterial small subunit ribosomal RNA
Source: RNAcentral